RNAcentral lists this ribosomal RNA (460 nucleotides) under uncultured bacterium. RNAcentral describes it as "partial 16S ribosomal RNA". It matches the Rfam family "Bacterial small subunit ribosomal RNA", at positions 338 to 795 of the family's 1533-position model. The record is from RNAcentral.
CCUACGGGAGGCUGCAGUGAGGAAUAUUGGUCAAUGGACGAGAGUCUGAACCAGCCAAGUAGCGUGAAGGAUGACUGCCCUAUGGGUUGUAAACUUCUUUUAUAUGGGAAUAAAAUGUUCCACGUGUGGGAUUUUGUAUGUACCAUAUGAAUAAGGAUCGGCUAACUCCGUGCCAGCAGCCGCGGUAAUACGGAGGAUCCGAGCGUUAUCCAGAUUUAUUGGGUUUAAAGGGAGCGUAGGUGGAUUGUUAAGUCAGUUGUGAAAGUUUGCGGCUCAACCGUAAAAUUGCAGUUGAAACUGGCAGUCUUGAGUACAGUAGAGGUGGGCGGAAUUCGUGGUGUAGCGGUGAAAUGCUUAGAUAUCACGAAGAACUCCGAUUGCGAAGGCAGUUCACUGGACUGCAACUGACACUGAGGCUCGAAAGUGUGGGUAUCAAACAGGAUUAGAUACCCAAGUAGUC